RNAcentral lists this non-coding RNA (100 nucleotides) under Jeongeupia sp. Its description in RNAcentral is "Glycine sequence". It matches the Rfam family "Glycine riboswitch aptamer". From Rfam's summary of the family: This family represents the bacterial glycine riboswitch. The record is from RNAcentral. Lineage: Bacteria; Pseudomonadati; Pseudomonadota; Betaproteobacteria; Neisseriales; Chitinibacteraceae.
AUCAGGCCAAUUGGAGAGAGGCCGGCAACGCCGGUCCACCGAAGGGGCAAUGCGCGGUCCGCCGCGCCAAACUCUCAGGUAAAAGGACAAGGGGAGAGGC